Molecule: long non-coding RNA, 1925 nt
Organism: Passer montanus (Eurasian tree sparrow)
Lineage: Eukaryota; Metazoa; Chordata; Aves; Passeriformes; Passeridae
Exons: 2
Source: RefSeq, a predicted model, not a curated record
UUAAAAACCAGAUCGCUUUAUGUAACGCCGCGAUGGAUGCGCAGCCCCCGCGCGCUCCCCCCGCCGCCCCGCACGCUCCACAACGCCGAAAGCGCGGGGCUCCGCGCCCGAGGGGCAGCAACGAGCUCAGUGCGGGGGGAUGCAGGCUAGGCCCGGCGGAGGCCGGUGACGCUGCCCCGGGGAAGCUGCGGCGGGCGCGGAGACCGGGCUGGAGGCGGCGGGGACCGGCCGCGCACAAGGAAAGGAAUGUUUCUUUCAAAGCUACAACUCUGAGGCUUGGAAUCUCAAAAUGACACAUGGGUCUGAUUUGGAAAAGGGCAUGAGAUGAAAUGCCUUUGCUGAUUCUCCAGGUCCUUUUUCUGUUUCUCUGAAUGAAAUACAAACUCAGCAGAACCUCAGUGUUUAACGUUGUAUCUCUCAAAGCCCUUUCCAAUAAACAGAAAUAAGAGUGAUAGACAGGAAAAUAGAAGAACAGUGAGUUGAAAGAGUCUAUUUUAAUACAAUUAUUUUGAAAAACUCUUUAAGUCCUUGUCAGAUGUAUGUCUCUUGCAGGUGGUUCUUUUAUUUAGAGAAAUCUGAUUUUAAAGGAACAGGUCAAGACCUAGUGCAGUAGUACUCCCUCAUGAUGUUACAGUGCAACCAUAAUUUUGCUCAGAAACAAGAAGAAAUAGUGAACAAUCCACGUUGGUUAUGUAUGUGUAUAUAAACAUUUGUCAUAGCUUAUGAGCAGCAAUGCAAAAUAUUUUUAAAUAUAUAAUUCCACAGGACAGAGACUUAAAUGUUUUUCUGAGAUGUGGAGGAAGUUCUAGUUACUGGUUUUGAUGGUUAUCAAAUCUCCCAAGAAAAAAGUGAUAAAUCACAAUUGGUUUGCUCUUAGCCUCAGGCAGUGGGAGACAAAGAGACCUUCUGUUCUGGGGUUUUUUUGAAAGAAAGAGUAGUGUUUUAUAAUCACAGAUUCAUUUAAGUUGGGAAAAACCUUUAGGAUGAUCAAGUCUAACCACAAACCUAACACUGCCAAAUCCACCUCUAAAUUUUAACUUAUGCUGGACUUCAACUCAAAUGGAUGCUACACAGCAGUACUGUCACCCAAAAAAGAGAAAGAUUGUGGCCAAAAUUCCGUGGAGUAGGUGAUAGAAGAGCAGAGGCUUUUAUGGAAAGACAAAGUCAAACUCAUUCUUCUGCCGAGGUGUUUUAAUGCCCUUGUAGAUAAAAAUCUCACCCGAAGUUGUUUAUAACAAGAGGGCUGUGUUUAUUUCCUGAGAAGGGAAUGAGAUCAAAUCUACAUGGUACAGGGAACACCUCUGAAGACUUCAAAUCCUUAAGAUUAUUUUUCUUGGAUGUUUUCACUACAUCUUUUUAAAAAGAAUGCCUUGUACAUGAAAAGCAUCAAGUGACCUUGUUGGUGUCGAUUGUCGUUCUCUUUGUUGUGCUUAAGGAAGUGAAGAAUCUUGCAAAUCAGAAAGGUGUGAAGAACAAAGCAAAAAUGUUAAAAGACAAUCUGCCGUGUUUUUCCUACUUGUAAAUAAGGUGGGAAAUGUCAAAACAAUAUAAACUAACGAUGCUUUUGAUUACUAAUGGAACUAGCAUGGAUUCAUCUCCGAGGUGACCAUUCAUAUGCCUGUUAAUAGUAAAAGUAUCCUUGAUGAGUAUUAUUUGUAUUGUUGAAAUCCUGUUUUUCUUAACUACAAAUUGACAGCAACAGGUUUGCUUCUUACACAUCCCUUAAGUCUCCUGAUGCACAAAUUUGAUGUGGCACAAGCAGUGUAUUACCUCACCUUUUCAGAAAUCACCUUCAGAACUCUGCCAAGUAUUCACUAGGGAGUUCUGCUCUACACCUCACUUUUCCCUCUGUAAAACACAGAAAAAAAUGAGUUACACUUUAAAGGGUGUAUAUGAACCUGGUAAUAAAAAAUCUUUCAACGCUG